GGAGUGGCGCAACGGUAGCGCACCUGUCUUGUAAACAGUCCCAGCGUCGCAGGUCAGGGGCGGAUCGCGGUUCCACGCAGGGGCAGGACCACCCCAGCGUUCCCCACGGUUCCCGCCGGAUCCU
This 124-nucleotide transfer RNA is filed under the name Brachybacterium rhamnosum. RNAcentral describes it as "tRNA-Thr". The record is from RNAcentral. Lineage: Bacteria; Bacillati; Actinomycetota; Actinomycetes; Micrococcales; Dermabacteraceae.